ACGUAUCGACUAUCGUUUAUAACGCUUCUACAAACACUCAUUACUUUCAAUGAAGAGAACUUUCAAAGGAUUACUAUUUCUUACAAUUUCUGUGUGUACCUAAAUUAAAAAAAACACAAUAUUAAGCAUUCAACAGAAUGCUUAAAAAUUAAAACAGUUGUGAGGAAGUUUUCUGUAAUGACUGCCACCGAAGCUCAUGAACUCAUAUGCGAUAAGUAAUCCUCUGCCUACUGCUUAGAACUCAUUUAAAAACUCCUCUUGGAGAAGGAAUAGUCGUAGCGUUCAAGAAAAGGUUCAUUUCAGAAGCGGCAUGUCGUGGCCUAAAGGACAAGAUACCAGCAGUACUUAUAUCCAGCGUUAUAACAGCACCAGCAUUCAAAUGCCUCAAAUGUCAAGAACCUUCACUCAUGCGGGUUUUAUUCGGUUAUCGAUACGUAAAGUAUUACAGCUGUUGAACGUUUAAAUAUUUGCAAAAAAAAUAUAUCCCAGAAAUUAAAUUCUCGACACUUAUACAGUGUGAUUCUUUAUAAUGUGCACAUAUCGAAAUAAGGGAAUCUAUGCUUAAUUUUAUCGAAGGAAAAAUAUUUAAAAAUACUAAAUAUGUUUUUUUUAUACUAAAUAUAUUUUUGAAUUUUUUAAUUUUUGUUCACUACUGUAACUCCGGUGUAAACAAAACGGUGUAACUUUUGAACUAAAUGAUCUAUCGCGGUUAAACAAAUUUAGGCACCAUGGAAAACCCAAAUUUUCCAACAACCAUACUAUGGAUGGACGAAGCGACAUUCACUAGAGACGACAUUACUAACUGUCGAAAUUUACACAAAUAUUGUCAUGCAGGUGAAAACCCGAAAUUGAAAUGUUCAUCGUCCUUUCAAGUAAGAUUUCGAUGAAUUUUAAUUCACGCGGCUUUGUGCCUACAACAAAGAGGUGGACAUUUUGAGAACCUCAUCAUUAAAUUUCGUGUAAAAUAAUAAAUGGUUUUAAUUGAA
Molecule: long non-coding RNA, 986 nt
Organism: Bombyx mori (domestic silkworm)
Lineage: Eukaryota; Metazoa; Arthropoda; Insecta; Lepidoptera; Bombycidae
Exons: 2
Source: RefSeq, a predicted model, not a curated record